UACGAAGGGGGCUAGCGUUGCUCGGAAUCACUGGGCGUAAAGGGUGCGUAGGCGGGUCUUUAAGUCAGGGGUGAAAUCCUGGAGCUCAACUCCAGAACUGCCUUUGAUACUGAAGAUCUUGAGUUCGGGAGAGGUGAGUGGAACUGCGAGUGUAGAGGUGAAAUUCGUAGAUAUUGGGAAGAACACCGGUGGCGAAGGCGGCGCUCUGGACCGAGACUGACGCUGAGGCGCGAAAGCGUGGGGAGCAAACAGG
RNAcentral lists this ribosomal RNA (253 nucleotides) under uncultured bacterium. RNAcentral describes it as "partial 16S ribosomal RNA". It matches the Rfam family "Bacterial small subunit ribosomal RNA", at positions 524 to 776 of the family's 1533-position model. The record is from RNAcentral.